Molecule: ribosomal RNA, 402 nt
Filed under: uncultured bacterium
Lineage: Bacteria
Description: bacterial SSU rRNA
Rfam family: Bacterial small subunit ribosomal RNA
Source: RNAcentral
AAUGAACGCUGGCGGCGUGCCUAAUACAUGCAAGUCGAGCGAGAAGACGUAGCAAUACGUUUGUAAAGCGGCGAACGGGUGAGGAAUACAUGGGUAACCUACCCUCGAGUGGGGAAUAACUAGCCGAAAGGUUAGCUAAUACCGCGUACGCUUCUUGGACUUCGGUUCAGGGAGGAAAGCGAUGCCGAGGGUAUCGCGCUCUUGGAUGGGCUCAUGUCCUAUCAGCUUGUUGGGAGGUAACGGCUCACCAAGGCUUCGACGGGUAGCUGGUCUGAGAGGACGAUCAGCCACACUGGCACUGCGACACGGGCCAGACUCCUACGGGGAGCAGCAAGUAAGGAAUAUUGCGCAAUGGGCAAAGCCUGACACAGCGACGCCGCGUGGGGGAUGAAGGUCUUCGGA